This 372-nucleotide ribosomal RNA is filed under the name uncultured organism. RNAcentral's name for it is "bacterial SSU rRNA". It matches the Rfam family "Bacterial small subunit ribosomal RNA", at positions 526 to 896 of the family's 1533-position model. The record is from RNAcentral.
CAGGGGGUGCAAGCGUUGUUCGGAAUUACUGGGCGUAAAGGGCGCGUAGGCGGCUUGGUAAGUCAGGCGUGAAAUCCCGGAGCUUAACUCCGGAAGUGCGUUUGAAACUACCUCGCUAGAGUUCAGUAGAGGAUGGUGGAAUUCCCAGUGUAGAGGUGAAAUUCGUAGAUAUUGGGAGGAACACCGGUGGCGAAGGCGGCCAUCUGGGCUGCAACUGACGCUGAGGCGCGAAAGCGUGGGGAUCAAACAGGAUUAGAUACCCUGGUAGUCCACGCUGUAAACGAUGGAUACUCGCUGUGGCUGGUAUUGACCCCGGCCGUAGCCAAGUUAACACGAUAAGUAUCCCGCCUGGGGAGUACGGUCGCAAGAUUA